AAGCAUAUAUCCACAUCUACUGUUCGAUAUUAAAUGUGAAUAACUAUCGAAUGAGCAGUUAAUAUUUUUGAAUAUAUAUUGUGAUUUCUGUUACUUAAUUCAUCUAAAAAUUAAUGGCGAAACGAAAGCAUCAGGGACUAAUGGUCGCAGCUCUGUCUUUUUCUGGUUUGGCCCUUUUAUUACAUAUAAUUGGUUUUUCUGUACCAUACUGGUAUAGUCAGGACAUAGGAUCAAUUACUGCUCACAUGGGACUAUGGAAAGGAUGCGUUGGUAUCAGCGGACUACUUGGUACUGUUUGUAAGGACUAUUCCCUGUGGGACUCUGAUCUUGAGUAUUAUCACAGAAUUCCCCAAGGUCUUACUACGAUUGCACUCAUACUGGCGUCCAUAGGAUGUUUUUCAUUGGUUGUAAAAAUAAGUAAAGGUUCAAAACCCGGAUUUGAGAAAGCGUAUUUAGUAGUUACUACCACAUUUGGUAUCGCAGAUGUAUUAAUCGCUAUUGCACUAGUGAUAUGGUCACUGUUCCAGACAGAAGCGGUCAGAAAUAAUAAGGGUUAUGGUAUUUGGUUAGAAAUAUUUGCAGCUGUGCUCUUUUUUCUUUCGGAAAUUAUACUUUAUUUACCAAUCAAUGCACCUGAUCCUGUUGUUUACCCAGCGAUGCCACAAACGGUGUCUUAUAUUACUACACAACAACAAUCUUACCAACGGAACUGGUGAAUACACAAAUGCCGGAUGUUUCUAAAGAAUUAAGAAGAUUUCACCUUUUUAACAAUGCCUGUUUUAUUUUAAUAACUGUUAAUAUAGUUCCUUCUUGAAUUCUAUGAAUUUGUUAUAAUUCAAACACCAAUAAAAUAUAUCUUUGUGGUUUA
Mytilus californianus (California mussel) is the source of this 868-nucleotide long non-coding RNA. RefSeq lists it as uncharacterized. The record is from RefSeq and is a predicted model, not a curated record. Lineage: Eukaryota; Metazoa; Mollusca; Bivalvia; Mytilida; Mytilidae. The transcript is spliced from 3 exons.